GGACUGUUUCAUGAUGCCUUAUGUGUAUGAACAGGGAUCCAGGAAAGCUGAGGCAGUUUGUAUUGGACCUGCACUCGGGAAAGUUGCACAGGGAGUUCCAUCAUGGCCCAGACCCCACAGACAGCACUCCAGGACAGGAGGAGAAUAGAGAGGUGGCCAGUAGUCCCCCAGAGAGUUCCUUCCAGAAAUUGGCCCCCAGUGAGACGCGCUACACCAUCCUCAGGGACCGGGACGAGCUGUGAUGUUACAACCGCAUCGAGACCCAACCCAGAACCCAGCAGCCAGCUGGUGCCUACCUGGCACUGCCGCUGCCUGUGCGAUGUCUAUUUUCAUAAUUUUUAUUUUAGAUAAAAAAAGUGAGAAGGUGAACCCCUGAGCCUUUUUGGGGUGGGGAAUGAAGAGAAGUGUUUUUAUUUUUGUUUUUGGAGCUUGUAAAUAUGUUUGUGCUCUGUGGGUCUUGUCUAAAUUAAAAACAUGAUUUUUUUUUUCUUUUAUUUUUAUUUUUAUUUUUUUGGCCUACAUUUUUGUCUACCCAAGUCCCUUUUUUUGUAGAAAAACAUUGGUACAUUGGUGGCCCUCUUUGUUGGGAACGCAAAUUGAGUUUCUUAUGGAUCUUAAGUGCGGGCAAGUGGAAUCAUGGGGAAAAAAAUAACAAACCUGCAGUCAACCCGUGGUGUUUCACUCCAGUCCUCAACAGAGCGUGCCCAGUGUGUGUGUAUGUAUGUAUGUGCGUGUGUGAGUAUGUGCACAUGUACAUUACAUGUGCUUAUUAGUCUGUAUUCGUAUGUACUGUACUGUUCCAGACUUGUUUAAAUUCACGCUCGCUAAGAUCCAGACUCGCUAGUCUCAUAUCAUCCCAUUCCACCAGGUGAGUGGUCAGGGGCAGGGUUAUGUGGGGGUCGGGUUUAGAGGGGUGGGGAUUAUUUGUAAAUCUGUCAUCUCAGAGGGGACAAGGAAACCAAAAAAAGAAAAGUAAAUUAAAAAACAUUUUACAAGAUUCUAUGUUGUCUGUUUCAUGAAGUGGGUUUCACUUUUGUAAUUCAUAUUUUUUUUCUACUUUUGCACUUUCUAGGUCCCAUUACGUCUGUACAUUAAAGGGAUAGUUCACCCAGAA
RNAcentral lists this long non-coding RNA (1114 nucleotides) under Sinocyclocheilus anshuiensis. Its description in RNAcentral is "lncRNA (ENSSANG00000004377.1)". Lineage: Eukaryota; Metazoa; Chordata; Actinopteri; Cypriniformes; Cyprinidae. The record is from RNAcentral.